AAGUCGAACGGAACUGUUUUGAAAGAUUUCUUCGGAAUGAAUUUGAUUUAGUUUAGUGGCGGACGGGUGAGUAACGCGUGAGUAACCUGCCUUCAAGAGGGGGAUAACAUUCUGAAAAGAAUGCUAAUACCGCAUGACAUAUCGGAACCACAUGGUUUUGAUAUCAAAGAUUUUAUCGCUUGAAGAUGGACUCGCGUCCGAUUAGUUAGUUGGUGAGGUAACGGCUCACCAAGACCGCGAUCGGUAGCCGGACUGAGAGGUUGAACGGCCACAUUGGGACUGAGACACGGCCCAGACUCCUACGGGAGGCAGCAGUGGGGGAUAUUGCGCAAUGGGGGCAACCCUGACGCAGCAACGCCGCGUGAAGGAUGAAGGUUUUCGGAUUGUAAACUUCUUUUAUUAAGGACGAAACUUGACGGUACUUAAUGAAUAAGCUCCGGCUAACUACGUGCCAGCAGCCGCGGUAAUACGUAGGGAGCAAGCGUUGUCCGGAUUUACUGGGUGUAAAGGGUGCGUAGGCGGCUUUGCAAGUCAGGUGUGAAAUCUAUGGGCUCAACCCAUAAACUGCAUUUGAAACUGUAGAGCUUGAGUGAAGUAGAGGCAGGCGGAAUUCCCCGUGUAGCGGUGAAAUGCGUAGAGAUGGGGAGGAACACCAGUGGCGA
RNAcentral lists this ribosomal RNA (662 nucleotides) under uncultured bacterium. RNAcentral describes it as "bacterial SSU rRNA". It matches the Rfam family "Bacterial small subunit ribosomal RNA", at positions 59 to 718 of the family's 1533-position model. The record is from RNAcentral.